Molecule: transfer RNA, 77 nt
Filed under: Caudoviricetes sp.
Lineage: Duplodnaviria; Heunggongvirae; Uroviricota; Caudoviricetes
Description: tRNA-Lys
Rfam family: tRNA
About the family: Transfer RNA (tRNA) molecules are approximately 80 nucleotides in length. Their secondary structure includes four short double-helical elements and three loops (D, anti-codon, and T loops). Further hydrogen bonds mediate the characteristic L-shaped molecular structure. tRNAs have two regions of fundamental functional importance: the anti-codon, which is responsible for specific mRNA codon recognition, and the 3' end, to which the tRNAs corresponding amino acid is attached (by aminoacyl-tRNA synthetases). tRNAs cope with the degeneracy of the genetic code in two manners: having more than one tRNA (with a specific anti-codon) for a particular amino acid; and 'wobble' base-pairing, i.e. permitting non-standard base-pairing at the 3rd anti-codon position.
Source: RNAcentral
UCUUCCUUAGCUUAAUUGGCUAAAGCAGGGGACUCUUAAUCCCAAGAGUCUGGGUUCGAUUCCCAGAGGAAGAACCA